UGGGGAAUAUUGGGCAAUGGGGGGAACCCUGACCCAGCAACGCCGCGUGAGGGAAGAAGGUUUUCGGAUUGUAAACCUCUGUUCUUGGAGAGGAGUGUAAGACGUUAUCCAAGGAGGAAGCCCCGGCUAACUACGUGCCAGCAGCCGCGGUAAUACGUAGGGGGCGAGCGUUGUCCGGAAUGAUUGGGCGUAAAGGGCGCGCAGGCGGCCCGACAAGUCAGUAGUGGAAGUCCAUUUUUCAAGGGUGGAAGUGCUCUUGAAACUGUAGGGCUUGAGUGCGGGAGAGGUUAUCGGAAUUCCCGGUGUAGCGGUGAAAUGCGUAGAGAUCGGGAGGAACACCAGUGGCGAAGGCGGGUAACUGGACCGCAACUGACGCUGAGGCGCGAAAGUGUGGGGAGCAAACAG
Molecule: ribosomal RNA, 405 nt
Filed under: uncultured bacterium
Lineage: Bacteria
Description: bacterial SSU rRNA
Rfam family: Bacterial small subunit ribosomal RNA
Source: RNAcentral